CCCGCUGAACUUAAGCAUAUCAAUAAGCGGAGGAAAAGAAACUAACAAGGAUUCCCCUAGUAACUGCGAGUGAAGCGGGAAAAGCUCAAAUUUAAAAUCUGGUGGUCUUUGGCUAUCCGAGUUGUAAUCUAGAGAAGUGUUAUCCGCGCUGGACCGUGUACAAGUCUCCUGGAAUGGAGCGUCAUAGAGGGUGAGAAUCCCGUCUUUGACACGGACUGCCAGGGCUUUGUGAUGCGCUCUCAAAGAGUCGAGUUGUUUGGGAAUGCAGCUCAAAAUGGGUGGUAAAUUCCAUCUAAAGCUAGAUAUUGGCGAGAGACCGAUAGCGAACAAGUACCGUGAGGGAAAGAUGAAAAGAACUUUGGAAAGAGAGUUAAACAGUACGUGAAAUUGCUGAAAGGGAAACGCUUGAAGUCAGUCAUGUCCUUCAGAUUCAGCUGGUUCUGCCGGUGUAUUUCUGUUGGAUGGGGUCAACAUCAGUUUUGGAUGCCGGAUAAAGGCUGGAGGAAGGUAGUACCCCCGGGUAAACUUAUAGCCUCCUGUCGCAUACGGUGACCGGGACUGAGGAACGCAGCUUGCCUUUAUGGCCGGGGUUCGCCCACGUACAAGCUUAGGAUGUUGACAUAAUGGCUUUAAACGACCCGUCUUGAAACACGG
This 654-nucleotide ribosomal RNA is filed under the name uncultured fungus. RNAcentral describes it as "eukaryotic LSU rRNA". It matches the Rfam family "Eukaryotic large subunit ribosomal RNA", at positions 24 to 664 of the family's 3401-position model. Lineage: Eukaryota; Fungi. The record is from RNAcentral.